This 256-nucleotide ribosomal RNA is filed under the name uncultured archaeon. RNAcentral describes it as "partial 16S ribosomal RNA". It matches the Rfam family "Bacterial small subunit ribosomal RNA", at positions 521 to 776 of the family's 1533-position model. The record is from RNAcentral.
UAAUACGAAGGGGGCAAGCGUUGUUCGGAAUUACUGGGCGUAAAGGGCGCGUAGGCGGUGCAUUAAGUCAGGCGUGAAAGCCCUGGGCUCAACCCGGGAAUUGCGCUUGAUACUGGUGCGCUUGAAUCCAGGAGAGGUUGGUGGAAUUCCCAGUGUAGAGGUGAAAUUCGUAGAGAUUGGGAAGAACACCGGUGGCGAAGGCGGCCAACUGGACUGGUAUUGACGCUGAUGCGCGAAAGCGUGGGGAGCAAACAGG